Molecule: non-coding RNA, 118 nt
Organism: Pelobates cultripes (western spadefoot toad)
Lineage: Eukaryota; Metazoa; Chordata; Amphibia; Anura; Pelobatidae
Source: the annotation of a GenBank genome assembly
CACCUAAUCUAGGCAAAAAUAAUGGGGGUUUAGUUACAUUAUAUGAUCAUACAUUGCAUAAGCCUGUAUGAUCAUAUAAUGUAACUAAAACCCCCAUUAUUUUUGCCUAGAUUAGGUG